Long non-coding RNA from Cygnus olor (mute swan), 970 nucleotides. RefSeq lists it as uncharacterized. The record is from RefSeq and is a predicted model, not a curated record. Lineage: Eukaryota; Metazoa; Chordata; Aves; Anseriformes; Anatidae. The transcript is spliced from 3 exons.
CAUCUAUGAUCCUGGGCAUCGGAAGGGGGCACAGCACGAAAAGCAAUAAUGCUCAUAAUACUUUGCACUUUUACAGCACCUGUCGCCAGAGGAAGGGAAAGUAUUUCGUAGUGGGAACCUGCCCAGGAUGUGGAAACUGAGACACCAAGAGGCCGUGAGGCUCGCACCACCCUGCCCUGCUGGAAGGGAGCUGGGGAGCCCAGCCGGGCCUCGCAGUGCCCCACACCACGAGCCCCCAGCCCCACGCACGCUUCCACGCACGAGGAGCUCCCUUUUCGUGUAAUAAGCGCUGGUGGAUGAGUUGCUUCAGGUUACGUGUCAUGAGCAGAGUGACAAAGAGCACACCGUGACGCAUGCAGCGAAGGGAGAGGGGACAGAAACGGGGUCCCGGAGUCAUUUGGGGGCCCCGACAGAGGUUCCCUGUGUGACCUGGGGCACAUCCCUCUCCCGUCAGCGGGGACCUGGGCUUCCACACCUUGGGUCCGUGCAGUGGGCCAGCAGCACUUGUCUGUGCAAAGUACCUUGAGCUCUGCAGGUGAAAAUUACUAUGCAAGUCAUAAAUAUUAAAUAACUGGUAAGAAGUGUUUUCUAUUUGACCCUGCAGACCCCUUUAAACAGGCCGGGUGUAUGUGUCUGUAUGGAAAAUACAGAAGUAGGCAUAUUGAAGCUGAUAAAAAUGAGCACGUUAGCUGGGCUAGGAGUCCCUGUGAGAAGUGGGUGAACCCACACCUGUGUGUCUGUCAGUGCUCACUGGCAGGUGAGGGAAUAAAACCCGCAUCCCUCAUCCAAAACGCAUCCGUGCAUGAUCCCACCCAGCCCACGCUCCCCGUUUCGAGACCCCAUUCCUUUGUAGGCUUCUGGGGACCCUUCCCGAGCCCGGCUGCCUUUGAAGAGCUAGGGGUGCACGAUAAACCCGAGUCAAUUUGCAUUGCAAUUCAGCCUUUGACAGACAGUUGGAGCCAAGGCACUG